This 253-nucleotide ribosomal RNA is filed under the name uncultured bacterium. RNAcentral describes it as "partial 16S ribosomal RNA". It matches the Rfam family "Bacterial small subunit ribosomal RNA", at positions 524 to 776 of the family's 1533-position model. The record is from RNAcentral.
UACAGAGGGGGCAAGCGUUGUUCGGAAUUACUGGGCGUAAAGGGCGCGUAGGCGGCCUGUUAAGUCGAACGUGAAAUCCCCGGGCUCAACCCGGGAACUGCGUCCGAUACUGGCAGGCUUGAAUUCGGGAGAGGGAUGCGGAAUUCCAGGUGUAGCGGUGAAAUGCGUAGAUAUCUGGAGGAACACCGGUGGCGAAGGCGGCACCCUGGACCGAGAUUGACGCUGAGGCGCGAAAGCCAGGGGAGCAAACGGG